GCAUGCUCAUGUAAUCCUGCUGUCAAUCUUUCUGUGUUUAUACUCACGGCAAAAACAAUGAAUUUAUAUAGACAUAAAUAAGGAUGAUGAAAAGCUGGACUAAAACUUGAGAACUAAAAAACUAAACAUCACUUGAAACAUAGCCACCAUCAAGAGAACCUGACAUCGAUGAUCUAACUUGAAUUAGUUGAAUAUGCCAGUAUUGUAUCGAUUCUCUUGGCCUUUGUAAGCAACACGACAAUUUUACAAGACGUUUAAUAAGAACUUGUAUUUUGAAAGUGAUUAACAAAUCAUUCCUCUUUAAAAGUGAGAUAUUUUCCUCUGCUGCAUGAUGUUACGUUCUGACAAAAUUCUUCAACUCUAGUCCUACUGAUAUUCACUACGUUUCUGAAGAUUGCAGAGCGAGCAUUCUGGGUACAAUGGCUGGGUACUGCAAUAUAAAAUUAAUACGCAUGCGCAUCAUUGCUUUUCUUUUUAGCGCGCUUUUGUCAACGAGAACGACGGUGACUAUUUUUGCUCUAAAAUACUCAUUUCAUUCCUAACGAUUCGGAGAUGACUUUAAUCCACUAAGAGAACGAUAAACUGUUUCAGCAAUGUGAUUACCUUUCUUUAACAUUUAUAUUUUUGAUUCGGUGUUGUAAUGUUUUUUAUUUAAUUUGCUAUUGGCAGAGGAUAGUUAAGCCACUGAUAUGUAAACUAAACUGGACUAUUUAUCCACGUACAUAUAUAGUAGGCUAUGUGAACAAAAACGCUUCUCCCUACGGCAUGGAAACUAUUGAAGCCAAAAUUAACCCAUCGAGUCAAGAAAUUGUUGACAAACAAAAGAAAAAACAAACGAAAUAUUACAACCAUGGCAGCAAGCCAUUAAUAGAUCUCAACCUAGGAGAUACAGUACUUAUACGACCAGACCAGGCGUGCAGGACAUGAAGGAAAGAAGUGUGUAACCAGAAGUUUGCACCCACGUCGUACCUAAUUAUUUCGAAAGGCUAAAUAUGCAGACGGAACAGAAGACAUCAGCCAUCCACUAAAGAAAGGGGAAGAUUGAUACAGAGCUUAAUGGGAAGAAAAUUAACAAUCUGAGUCCGAAGACCGAAAUGAGCAACAGGUGCAGCAAACUUCUCUACGCAAGACAUGACCUUAAAUGUCAGUAUAGAAACCAAUCAAGCACGACUAGACACCGACACAUCGGACACAUCAGUCAAAAGAAAAUCUUCUGUAGGACGUACAUUUACAAUGAACGUUCUACAUGUGAUUACCAAUUUUUGUGAAAACUACUCCUAGAUCCUUCAAAUUAUAAUAUUGUUUUUUUCCUUA
Long non-coding RNA from Xenia sp. Carnegie-2017, 1314 nucleotides. RefSeq lists it as uncharacterized. The record is from RefSeq and is a predicted model, not a curated record. The transcript has 2 exons. NCBI's taxonomy places the organism in Eukaryota, Metazoa, Cnidaria, Anthozoa, Malacalcyonacea, Xeniidae.